Molecule: RNA transcript, 4748 nt
Organism: Balaenoptera ricei (Rice's whale)
Lineage: Eukaryota; Metazoa; Chordata; Mammalia; Artiodactyla; Balaenopteridae
Gene: ADGRA3
Gene name: adhesion G protein-coupled receptor A3
Exons: 20
Source: RefSeq, a predicted model, not a curated record
GACCCGCCGCCCAGCCCGCAGCAUGGAGCCGUCCGAGCGCCUGCGGGGCCGCGCGCCGCCGCCUCUGUUGCUGCCGCUGGCUCUGCUCGCGCUGCUGGGAGGCGGCGGCGGGGCCGCGGCGCUGCCGCCGGGCUGCAAGCACGACGGGCGGCCCCGAGGGGCCGGCAGGGCGGCGGGCGCCGCAGAGGGCAAGGUGGUGUGCAGCAGCCUGGAGCUCGCGCAGGUCCUGCCCCCGGAUACGGUGCCCAACCGCACGGUCACCCUGAUUCUGAGUAACAAUAAAAUAUCCGAGCUGAAGAAUGGCUCAUUUUCUGGGUUAAGUCUUCUUGAAAGAUUGGACCUCCGAAACAAUCUUAUUAGUAGUAUAGAUCCAGGUGCCUUUUGGGGACUGUCAUCGCUAAAAAGAUUGGAUCUGACAAACAAUCGAAUAGGGUGUCUGAAUGCAGACAUAUUCCGAGGACUCACCAAUCUGGUGAGGCUAAACCUUUCAGGGAAUUUGUUUUCAUCAUUAUCUCAAGGAACUUUUGAUUAUCUUGGCUCAUUACGAUCUUUAGAAUUUCAGACUGAGUAUCUGCUGUGUGAUUGUAACAUACUGUGGAUGCAUCGCUGGGUAAAGGAGAGAAACAUCACGGUACGGGACACACGGUGUGUUUAUCCUAAGUCUCUUCAGGCCCAGCCAGUCACAGGUGUGAAGCAGGAGUUGUUGACGUGCGAUCCUCCCCUUGAAUUACCAUCUUUCUACAUGACUCCAUCUCAUCGUCAAGUUGUGUUUGAAGGAGACAGCCUUCCUUUCCAGUGCAUGGCUUCAUAUAUUGAUCAAGACAUGCAAGUGUUAUGGUAUCAGGAUGGGCGAAUAGUCGAAACUGAUGAAUCCCAAGGUAUCUUUGUUGAAAAGAACAUGAUUCACAACUGCUCAUUGAUUGCAAGUGCCCUAACCAUUUCUAAUAUUCAGGCUGGAUCGACUGGAAAUUGGGGCUGUCACGUCCAGUCCAAACGUGGGAACAAUACAAGAACCGUCGAUAUUGUGGUCUUAGAAAGCUCUGCGCAGUACUGUCCUCCGGAGAGGGUGGUAAACAAUAAAGGGGAUUUCAGGUGGCCCAGAACACUGGCAGGCAUUACUGCACAUCUGCAGUGUACGCGGAAUACCCACAGCGGUGGGAUCUAUCCCGGAAACGCACAGGAUGAGAGAAAGGCCUGGCGCAGAUGUGAUCGAGGUGGCUUUUGGGCGGAUGAUGAUUAUUCUCGCUGCCAAUAUGCAAAUGAUGUCACUAGAGUUCUUUAUAUGUUUAAUCAGAUGCCCCUCAAUCUUACCAACGCUGUGGCCACAGCCCGACAAUUAUUGGCUUACACGGUGGAAGCAGCCAACUUUUCUGACAAGAUGGAUGUUAUAUUUGUGGCUGAAAUGAUAGAGAAAUUUGGAAGAUUUACUAAAGAGGAAAAAUCAAAAGAGCUCGGUGAUGUGAUGGUUGACAUUGCAAGUAACAUCAUGUUGGCUGACGAGCGUGUCCUGGGGCUGGCGCAGAGGGAAGCUAAAGCCUGCAGUAGGAUCGUUCAGUGUCUACAGCGUGUCGCCACGUACCGGCUAGCAAACGGAGCUCAUGUUUAUUCAACAUAUUCACCCAAUAUUGCUCUGGAAGCUUAUGUCAUCAAGGCUGCUGGCUUCACUGGGAUGACAUGUACCGUGUUCCAGAAAGUGGCAGCUACUGACCGGACAGGCUUUUCUGACUAUGGGAGGCGGGAUCCAGAUGGAAACCUGGAUAAACAGCUGAGCUUUAAGUGCAACGUUUCAAAUACGUUUUCAAGUCUGGCUCUGAAGAAUACUAUUGUAGAGGCUUCUAUUCAGCUUCCUCCUUCCCUUUUCUCACCAAAGCAAAAAAGAGAAGUCAGACCAAGUGAUGACUCUCUCUAUAAGCUUCAACUCAUCGCAUUCCGCAAUGGAAAGCUUUUUCCAGCCACCGGGAAUUCGACAAAUUUGGCCGAUGAUGGAAAACGGCGUACAGUGGUUACCCCAGUGAUUCUCACCAAAAUAGAUGGUGUGAACAUUGACACCCACCACAUCCCUGUUAAUGUGACCCUGCGUCGAAUUGCGCACGGAGCGGAUCCUGUGGCCGCCCAGUGGGAUUUCGAUUUGCUGAACGGACAAGGAGGCUGGACGUCAGAUGGGUGCCGUAUACUCUGCUCAGAUGAAAAUAUCACUGCCAUUCAGUGCUACUCCCUUAGUAACUAUGCGGUUUUAAUGGAUUUGACGGGAUCUGAACUCUAUACCCAGGCAGCCAAUCUCUUGCACCCUGUGGUCUACACCACGGCUGUCAUUCUUCUCUUCUGCCUCUUAGUGGUCAUCGUCAGUUACAUAUACCAUCACAGUUUGAUUAGAAUCAGUCUCAAAGGCUGGCACAUGCUUGUGAACUUAUGCUUUCAUAUUUUUCUGACAUGUGUGAUCUUUGUGGGAGGAGUAACUCAAACUAGAAAUGCCAGCGUCUGCCAAGCAGUUGGAAUAAUUCUUCAUUAUUCCACCCUUGCUACAGUUCUCUGGGUGGGAGUGACAGCUCGAAAUAUCUACAAACAAGUCACUAGAAAAGCUAAAAGAUGCCAGGAUCCUGAUGAGUUGCCACCUCCACCAAGACCAAUGCUCAGGUUUUACCUGAUCGGUGGCGGUAUACCCGUUAUAGUUUGUGGCAUAACAGCGGCAGCAAACAUCAAGAAUUACGGUAGUCGGCCAAAUGCGCCCUACUGCUGGAUGGCAUGGGAACCCUCCUUGGGAGCCUUCUACGGGCCUGCCAGCUUCAUCACUUUUGUAAACUGUAUGUACUUUCUAAGCAUAUUUAUUCAGUUGAAAAGACACCCUGAGCGCAAAUACGAGCUGAAGGAACCCAGUGAGGAGCAGCAGAGGCUGGCAGCCAACGAAAAUGGCGAAGUAAAUCAUCAGGAUUCCCUGUCUCUCUCCCUCAUUUCGACGUCAGCCCUGGAAAAUGAGCAUACUUUCCAUUCUCAACUUUUGGGAGCCAGCCUUACCUUGCUCUUAUAUGUCGCUUUGUGGAUGUUUGGGGCCUUGGCUGUUUCUUUGUAUUACCCUUUAGACUUGGUUUUUAGCUUCUUUUUUGGAGCCACGUGUUUGAGCCUCAGUGCGUUUAUCGUGGUUCACCAUUGUGUCAACAGGGAGGACGUCCGGCUCGCGUGGAUCAUGACUUGCUGCCCGGGCCGGAGCGCGUACUCGGUCCAGGUCAACGUGCAGCCCCCCAGCUCCAGUGGGCCGAGCGGGGAGGCCCCCAAGUGCACCAACAGCAGCACAGAAUCUUCAUGCACAAACAAGAGUGCAUCGAGCUUCAAAAACUCCUCCCAGGGCUGCAAAUUAACAAACUUGCAGGCUGCUGCAGCUCAGUGCCAUAGCAACUCUCUACCUUUGAAGAACGCCACACCUCAGCUUGACAAUAGUCUGACAGAGCAUUCGAUGGACAAUGAUAUUAAAAUGCAUGUGGCGCCUUUAGAAGUUCCAUUUCGAACAAACGUACACUCAAGCCGCCAUCAUAAAAACAGAAGUAAAGGGCACCGGGCCAGCAGACUCACAGUCCUAAGAGAAUAUGCCUAUGACGUCCCCACGAGCGUGGAAGGCAGCGUGCAGAAUGGCCUGUCGAAAAGCCGGCCGGGCAGUAAUGAAGGACACUCUCGGAGCCGAAGGGCUUACUUAGCCUACAGAGAGAGACAGUACAACCCUCCCCAACAAGAUAGCAGUGAUGCUUGUAGCACACUUCCCAAAAGCAGCAGGAAUUUUGAAAAGCCCGUUUCAACUAGUAGUAAAAAAGAUGCAUUAAGGAAGCCAACUGUAGUUGAACUUGAAAGUCAGCAGAAGUCUUAUGGCCUCAACUUGGCCAUUCAGAACGGACCAAUCAAAAGCACUGGGCAGGAUGGACCCUUGCUGGGUAUGGAUAGCACUGGCAAUGUGAGGACUGGAUUAUGGAAACACGAAACUACUGUGUAGCAUUGGUGGGCUUCCUGGGCAGAAAUCCAUAUAAACUGUGAUACUCACAUUCCUUUAAGCUAUGAACAUGUAAAAACCGACUGUUUACAGCCAACUUAGGGAUUCAAAAGAAUUUUGAAUAAACUUCAACUGAGGCUCAAAGAGUUUCUUACCUGCUGAAGUACCAGCAGGUUAUGCCACAUCCAGGACCAGGUCCAUGUUCUCUGAUGCCACGGCCGCUGUGCUUUGAUUGCUUCUCUGAAGGCAAGCACCCGUGCUCUUCACAGUGUCUAUUAUGUAUAAUUUUACUAAACUUUAUUCUCAUCCUGGUUAUUUUGAGUUUUGUUUUGUUUUAAAUUUCAUUUAUUUAUUUAUUUUUGGCUGCGUUGGGUCUUUGUUGCUGCACGCGGGCUUUCUCCAGUUGCGGAGAUCAGGGGCCACUCUUUGUUGAGUGUGCCAGCCUCCCAUUGCGGUGGCUUCUCUCGUUGCGGAGCACGGGCUCUAGGCGCACAGGCUUCAGCAUUUGUGGCACGCGGGCUCAGUAGUUGUGGUACGUGGCCUCCAGAGAGCAGGCUCAGUAGUUGUAGCUCACGGGCCCAGUUGCUCCGUGGCUUGUGGGAUCUUCCCAGACCAGGGAUCCAACCCAUGUUCCCUGCAUUGGCAGGCGGACUCCUAACCACUGUGCCACUAGGGAAGUCCCUAUUUUGAGUUUUAAUUUCAUAAUGAGAUAUAAUUGGUCAUAUUCUACUUAAGGAAACACACAUGAUUUAUUCCAUGAAAGUUUUUCUUUAAA